UGUGAACAUACCUAUUUGUUGCCUCGGCGGUGCCUGUUCCGACAGCCCGCCAGAGGACCCCAAACCCUGAUUACAUUUAAGAAGUCUUCUGAGUAAACCGAUUAAAUAAAUCAAAACUUUCAACAACGGAUCUCUUGGUUCUGGCAUCGAUGAAGAACGCAGCGAAAUGCGAUAAGUAAUGUGAAUUGCAGAAUUCAGUGAAUCAUCGAAUCUUUGAACGCACAUUGCGCCCGCUAGUAUUCUGGCGGGCAUGCCUGUCCGAGCGUCAUUUCAACCCUCAAGCCCCCGGGCUUGGUGUUGGGGAUCGGCGAGCCUCCGCGCCCGCCGUCCCCUAAAUCUAGUGGCGGUCUCGCUGUAGCUUCCUCUGCGUAGUAGCACACCUCGCACUGGGAAACAGCGCGGCCACGCCGUUAAACCCCCAACUUCUGAACGUUUGACCUCGGAUCAGGUAGGAAUACCCGCUGAACUUAAGCAUAUCAAUAAGCGGAGGAA
RNAcentral lists this ribosomal RNA (492 nucleotides) under Ilyonectria sp. Its description in RNAcentral is "eukaryotic LSU rRNA". The stretch from base 115 to 268 matches the Rfam family "5.8S ribosomal RNA". The record is from RNAcentral. Lineage: Eukaryota; Fungi; Ascomycota; Sordariomycetes; Hypocreales; Nectriaceae.